This 534-nucleotide ribosomal RNA is filed under the name Melanitis leda. RNAcentral's name for it is "partial 16S ribosomal RNA". The stretch from base 396 to 534 matches the Rfam family "Archaeal large subunit ribosomal RNA", at positions 2542 to 2680 of the family's 2987-position model. The record is from RNAcentral. Lineage: Eukaryota; Metazoa; Arthropoda; Insecta; Lepidoptera; Nymphalidae.
CAAAACAUGUCUUUUUGGUAAUAAUUUAAAGUCUAAUCUGCCCACUGAUUUAAAUUAAAGGGCUGCAGUAUAUAUGACUGUACAAAGGUAGCAUAAUCAUUAGUUUUUUAAUUGAAAACUUGUAUGAAGGAUUUGAUGAAAUAUAAACUGUCUCUUAUUUAAAAUUAAAAAUUUAUUUUUUAGUUAAAAAGCUAAAAUAAUUUUAAAAGACGAGAAGACCCUAUAGAGUUUUAUAUUAAAUUAUUUUAUAAUUAUUUAUAUAAUUAAAAAUUAAAAAUGAAUUUAAUAUUUUAUUGGGGUGAUAGAAAAAUUAAAAAAACUUUUUUUAAAUUAUUAACAUAGAUAUAUGAAUAAAUGAUCCAUAAUUAAUGAUUAUAAGAAAAAAUUACCUUAGGGAUAACAGCGUAAUAUUUUUUUUUAGUUCAUAUAAAAAAAAAAGUUUGCGACCUCGAUGUUGGAUUAAGAUAAAAUUUAAAUGCAAAAGUUUAAAAGUUUUGAUCUGUUCGAUCAUUAAAAUCUUACAUGAUCUGAGUU